UAUUGGACAAUGGGGGCAACCUGAUCCAGCAAUGCCGCGUGUGUGAAGAAGGUCUUCGGAUUGUAAAGCACUUUCGACGGGGACGAUGAUGACGGUACCCGUAGAAGAAGCUCCGGCUAACUUCGUGCCAGCAGCCGCGGUAAUACGAAGGGGGCUAGCGUUGCUCGGAAUGACUGGGCGUAAAGGGCGUGUAGGCGGUUUGUACAGUCAGAUGUGAAAUCCCCGGGCUUAACCUGGGAGCUGCAUUUGAUACGUGCAGACUAGAGUGUGAGAGAGGGUUGUGGAAUUCCCAGUGUAGAGGUGAAAUUCGUAGAUAUUGGGGAAGAACACCGGUGGCGAAGGCGGCAACCUGGCUCA
This 357-nucleotide ribosomal RNA is filed under the name Acetobacter pasteurianus. RNAcentral's name for it is "bacterial SSU rRNA". It matches the Rfam family "Bacterial small subunit ribosomal RNA", at positions 362 to 736 of the family's 1533-position model. The record is from RNAcentral. Lineage: Bacteria; Pseudomonadati; Pseudomonadota; Alphaproteobacteria; Acetobacterales; Acetobacteraceae.